CGGUAGCUCAGUAGGUAGAGCAGUGGACUGAAAAUCCGCGUGUCGAUGGUUCAAGUCCGUCCCGA
This 65-nucleotide transfer RNA is filed under the name pig gut metagenome. It matches the Rfam family "tRNA", at positions 5 to 66 of the family's 71-position model. Rfam says of the family: Transfer RNA (tRNA) molecules are approximately 80 nucleotides in length. Their secondary structure includes four short double-helical elements and three loops (D, anti-codon, and T loops). Further hydrogen bonds mediate the characteristic L-shaped molecular structure. tRNAs have two regions of fundamental functional importance: the anti-codon, which is responsible for specific mRNA codon recognition, and the 3' end, to which the tRNAs corresponding amino acid is attached (by aminoacyl-tRNA synthetases). tRNAs cope with the degeneracy of the genetic code in two manners: having more than one tRNA (with a specific anti-codon) for a particular amino acid; and 'wobble' base-pairing, i.e. permitting non-standard base-pairing at the 3rd anti-codon position. The record is from RNAcentral.